GGACUGGUGGGUUUUGACCCACAUAAAAGAAAGCCGGAGCUGGUUACCAUGUGCACAUGCUCAGGGUGCACCUUGGGCUCGUUCUCAUUUUUAAGGUGGAUACAGAGGAAGGAGAGGGAAACGGCCUCAACUCUGGCAAAGUGGGGACAAGUCCUCUGUGACUCGAAGGGACUCCCUGCUUUGCUCAAAGUGCCCCUUGUUGCCUGGUGGCAAGUUUUGUUCUCCAAGACCAGUGACUGACUCCUGUUCAUGAUGCUUUUGGGGAAAGACAUUAGAUCCAUACAAGGUUAAUUACUAUUAUGCAAAGAAAUGAGCCCACACACCGUUCACAAUCCUUUUGGGUGGCACACGUGUUCAUUUCUCUUUCUUUUAAAAAAAAUCAUGCCUCUUUUUAUUUAUUUGAUAUCUUCUCUUGUCUUCUCCGCUCUGUUUCUGUAAAGAAUGAAAAUGCAGCCUCCACCAUGGUGGAUCAUGUAACUCUGUAUAAGCUCUUCCAAGGGUCUCCAUUCCGUUCAGGCCCUAACAAUAGCCCACGAAGCUGCAGGACCUGGCCUCUCACCCCUGGCUCACCUCCGACGCAUGUAUACAACAGAGAUGCCUGGAUUUCCUUUUACGUGACAGGUUCACAUGAGACAUCUUAUAGAAGCUGCUUUCUUCACCCAAUGCUGCACACAUUUCUAUGUCAAGGGCGAAUGCGGAGGAAAACCUGCCACCCCGUACACGCAGGCUUCUCCUUGGGAAAGAUGCUCUGCUAAUUGUGAACAUCAGCCAAAGCCCUGAAAGUGAUUCUAGCUGGAAAUGAGCAGGUCUCUGAAGCGGAAGAAGAGAUGGACUCUGGAGAAGAGGGUGUCUGCAGCCGUGGGGGUGAAGGUGACCACCCCGGGGAGAGGGGCAGUGCCGAGCCAAACUUCAGACGCCUCUGGGGGAUGCCGGGCACCCCAUCGGCCUGGCAUCCACAAAUGUUUCAGCCAGAUGUGCAGCCCUUGGAAUGAGCAGUCAGCAACUGCUUUGAAGAUAAAAAGCCCUGGGAGCCCACAGAGCGCCUCUGUUACUGGCGGGAGUGCGCCUUCUCCGCACCAGCACUGCUCACGGCUCUGCUCCAGCUGGUGAAAGGCAAACCCAGCCGGAAAUGCCAAGUGCAAGGAAGGGGAGCAAGUGAAAUGCUGGGGGUGGGAGAAGGGAAGGGGUGGGUGCCUGUGCUUUGAAAUUCUGUCCCGGAAAGGCCUCUUCAGUGGAUCCCCUUCCAACCUGCCCCAGUACAACAACUGGACGUGGCAUGUGACAGGCGCUGCCGACAGGUCACAUUUCACACACGCAGCUGUAAUAUCUGGCACGCAGGUGUUUGGUUCUGUGUUUGCCAGCUGCUCUGCAGCGCCCUGCUUUUCUGGAUGGGAUGGGGGAGGGGGAACCUCACACUUGUUGCUGCCAAAAGUGAGGAGGGGUUAGAAAUUCCUGCCAGUGGGCCAGGUGCUCAGCGUUGGAGUCAGUGCUUGAGUGUCCCCGUGCCUGCCUCAAAGGUCCUGGGGACAGGGAGUGGGUCUGCAUGGGAGGGGGAGCAAGGUGACCGGGAAGCCUCCAGCAAGCCGGCCAGGCCCCAGGAAGAUCCGUCGGGAGCGAGUGAGCAAGAGGAGAGUUGGCCCCUGGGCUCUCGAGUUGGGAAGAUAAGAGUUCAGAUCCCAACUCCACCUCUGAGUAAUUGUGAACUCUUGGCCAAGUUUCUUAACCUGUCUGGGCCUCAGUGUCCUAGUCUAUAAAAUGGAUUGUGGAACACCUGGUCCAUGGGCCGCUGGAAGGAUUCCAUGAGACAGGGUGUAAAGCACGCAGGGAAGCAGUGCUGCUUUUGCUGUCCCCACCUGGAAAGCGGGUCAGGCAGGCGCCUCCCAGGCUCCUGGGCCAGCACCCUGGACCAUUGCGCACGGCAAGCAAGCCUGGCCCAGCGGUUCUGCGUCUCAGGGUGGAUGGGCGGGCCCAGGUGGUCCCAGUGUCCAGACACAGAUACUUGGUUUCCUGCUCUUUCUUCUUCCUCAGAGAGGAAGACGACUGUGUACUCAGAAAACUAAAGUCACUGAGAAAGCACAAAGCAGGGCGUUUGGGCUUGCGCCUCCCACCUCCAGCCCCCCAGCCUCCCCAACCCAGAACUCACCAGAGAUUGUUCAUGGCUGUGGCUGUUACUCGGAGGUGUCUCUCCCUCCUCCGCUGGACUCUCUGGAGGCCGUGGGCCACGUCCACUUUGCCCGCCACUCCUUUCCAUUCUCUGCAGGCAAGAAGGUUGGAAAAACGUUUGCUGAGGGAGCAAAGGCCUAAGUGUGUGGAUGAGUAGAAGGAGGUCCUCACUUCUUCUGCCUCUCUCAUCCCUAUUUAAAAAAAAUUUUGGGGGGCAAAUUUAUGGUUACUAGGGUAGGGGGGAGAGGAGAGGGAGGGAUAAAUUGAGAGCUUGGGAUUGGCUUAUUAAACUACUAUGUACCAAACAGAUAAAAACAAAGUCCUAGUCUAUAUCACAGGAGAUUAUAUUCUAUGGCUUGUAGUAACAUGUAAUGAAAAAGAAUAUGAAAAAGAAUAUAUAUAUAUAAAACUGAAUCACUAUGC
Molecule: non-coding RNA, 2586 nt
Organism: Vicugna pacos (alpaca)
Lineage: Eukaryota; Metazoa; Chordata; Mammalia; Artiodactyla; Camelidae
Source: RefSeq, a predicted model, not a curated record